UGGCGAACGGGUGAGUAACGCGUGAGGAACCUGCCUCAAAGAGGGGGACAACAGUUGGAAAAGACUGCUAAUACCGCAUAAGCCCACGGGUCGGCAUCGACCUGAGGGAAAAGGAGCAAUCCGCUUUGAGAUGGCCUCGCGUCCGAUUAGCUAGUUGGUGAGGUAACGGCCCACCAAGGCGACGAUCGGUAGCCGGACUGAGAGGUUGAACGGCCACAUUGGGACUGAGACACGGCCCAG
Molecule: ribosomal RNA, 240 nt
Filed under: uncultured bacterium
Lineage: Bacteria
Description: partial 16S ribosomal RNA
Rfam family: Bacterial small subunit ribosomal RNA
Source: RNAcentral